CUUGGUGCUGUGAUUAUAAAAAAAAUUCCUCGUUCUGAAUGCUGUAGAAUUGGCAUGAUAGACUCUUCUAACACCCAUAGAAUAUGAGCACCA
This is a small nucleolar RNA of Musa acuminata AAA Group (dessert banana), 93 nucleotides long. RefSeq annotates it as small nucleolar RNA snoR8a. NCBI's taxonomy places the organism in Eukaryota, Viridiplantae, Streptophyta, Magnoliopsida, Zingiberales, Musaceae. The record is from RefSeq and is a predicted model, not a curated record. The transcript has a single exon.